RNAcentral lists this long non-coding RNA (3274 nucleotides) under Sus scrofa (pig). RNAcentral describes it as "lncRNA (ENSSSCG00000057527.1)". The record is from RNAcentral. Lineage: Eukaryota; Metazoa; Chordata; Mammalia; Artiodactyla; Suidae.
GGGAAUUACCAGAUAUCUAAGUCAGCUUGAAAAACGCCAGCCACAGCAAAGUCUUGUUUUCGUUAUGUGUGAAUGAAAUACAUAAAAUUAUUGAUACUUUGUAUUCAAUUUAGCAAAUUCAGAUUGAUAUCUGAAGAUUGGUGAAAAUGUCACAGCUUGGAAUUUUAUAGGAAUAAAUAGAAAUUAUGAGUUUCCAAAUUAUUAGCAUCACGGAAAAUGAAAGUAUGUUUUCACUAGAAAGAGCCCACGCUGUUGAUACAGGAAACCCAGAGCUGAUGCUUGACUCCAUCGUUCAGUAGUUACUUAGAGUAAGUUAGCUUACUUUCAUGAGCCUCACUUUGCUCAUGUGCAAUAAGGGCUGAACAGUAAUUCUGCUGCCUAUCUCAAAGAGUUGCUAGAUGAACAAAGUACUUUGAAUAUGAAAGCAUUUUACAUAGUACAAUGUAUUGUAAAUAAAGUGAAUGAUUCAUAUGUAAAUAGUAAAUUGACUUAUGUCAAGGUCAUAAAUUUGUUUGCCAAAAGUUAGGGAAACGGUGCCGUGAUACGCUUUCUGUGAAUGUUAAUUCAGUAUUAAUAACUUCAUAGAAUACAUUUUCUUUGUAGAGAGGUGGAUUACGUAAUCAAAUAAUAAAUACUUGGGAAAAGAUGAAUAUAUUUAUACAGAUAGGCUUAUUUUGCUUUUAUAAAUUUUGAAGGAUAAGAUCUUGAGGAGCUUAUUUUCAUAACAUUUUUUUAUGCAGAAACAUCUGCAGAAAUUUGAAUGUACAAUCAUCGAAGUAACAUUUUAGUGCAAAUGGAUUAGGUGCAUAUUCAGAGUAUAGAUGGUUAUUUGAAAGGCUGAUGUUACACUCAAAUAUAAGCAGGUGCACAUAUUUGAAUGAUCAUGACUUCCAUAUUCAGUGAUUUCAAUAUAAAAUCAUUUUAAGGAGUACAGAUCCAGUUUCCUCUAUUCCCACUGCUUAUUUGAUCUCACUUAAAUAUUGCAAACGAUUCUUUAAUGUUUAAGUAAACAAUUUGCCUCUAACUUUAGAGUGUUUCAUUAGAUUAGCAGAAGACUGAGCAGCAGCCCUGUAUAAUAUUCUAUGUGGUUAAACUGCCCCAUAUUCUCCAAAUCACCUAAUAAACUUUGCUCAAAAAUCAUCAUUGAGGUACCAAAGAAAAAAUACUGUAAAGCUGCCUUCUAAUCAUUCCAUCUUACAGUAUGGCAAUACCUAUGAAGAAACCAAAUGAUGAACCAAACUUAAAAAGUGCCCAGAGAGAAGGCUGACUAAAUUAAAAACUCAUUAACUCUGUGGUACUGAUUUCUUAAGUAAUAACAUUUCUGAAAUAGCAUAAAGAACUGGAUAUAACUAGUGAAUUAUAAGGAAGAUUAUAAUAUAUUGAUUUAAAUAAAGUAUGUUAUUAUACACAUUUAAAAUCUGAUGUUUUGCAUUCAUUUCUACCUAUAAAUAUGUGUAGACCAUAGUCCCAGUAGGAACAGAUACGAGGAAAAUUAGCCAAAUGAGGUAGUAUUUUACUAAUUAUAGGAUGGAGAGUAUAUGACAGUUUCUUUUUUUGCUAUAUUCACUAAGUACAUAAUUAUUAUGCUUAUAUUCUUGCCACAUAUGGUGGAUAUUAAGCAAGGGAUUAAAACAAAGUAAGAUGAGCAUUCUUAAAAAACAAUUAUAAGUUCAAAAUGAAAAUGUUACAGUUAAAUCUAACCUAAUUCAUGGGUGAAGAAAGAUAUGCCUGAAAAUUGAUCUUUAAGUCAAGUACUGAUGGAUAGAUAGGAGCCAGCAAAGACAUUCUGAAAACGAUGUUAGAGAUGGGGUGUCCCUGGUAAGGGCAAUAGCAUAGAGAAAAGCACAGAGGCAAAGCUACUUCCAGAUACAUGCCAGGAACUAUAGAAAACCGAAUAGAACUUGGACCUAGGGCAAAAUUGUUGAAAGAUGUGGCAGAAAUCAUCUACUCUGGGCAAGAUAACAUGCAAGAUAAGAGCCUAAGCAAACUAUGGACUAAUAUAGAUUUCUAUUAUGUGAACAGGUUUUCUUAUUUUUUUCCAAAGAAAGCUCAGUGUUGAAAAGUUCAUAGUGAGCUGAAAAGUUCACAGUAAAUGCAUGAUGAUUAAGUUAAUUUCUUCUCAGUUGCCCCUGACUACAGAAUAAGGGCAAAGUUUCUCAGCUGGGCUCCAGACCUCCAGAGCUGGCUCUCUGCCCAAUUUGGUGCAUCUAUCAAAAUUAUAAGCCUAGAUUCUGUAGGGUAUGAAAAUGCCACAGACCCAGUCGCUGCAAAUAGAGGUGCUAUAAAUGCUCCAUUUGUUGUCAGUAUUUUCUAUCAUCCAUCUCUGUAUUUUUCAUUGGAUCAUGUUCUUAUCUUGAGGGCACAGACCAUGUCUUAUUCCUCUUUAUAAGCAAUUCCAUACUAGGCACAGUGCCUGAAAACAGCAGGUGCUCAGUAAAUAUUUAUUGAAUGAAUGGCUACAUUUUUUUUUUAAGUUUGAAAAAUUCUUAUGAGUAAAUUCUAUCAGCGUAUUUUCUCAUGUAGAACAACUAUUGCUAAAGACACAUUAUGUUUAAUAUAUUCCAGAAAGUCACAAGCCCAUUUUAUAGUGAACUAAACUUCUGUUAUAUCAAGGAAUGCAUGCAAUAUCUGUUAUUUUUAAUGCCCAUAUUGGUUUAAACUGAGCCUUUCACCAUCUGUUCCAAAUCUUAAACUGUGGAUGCAAAAGAGCACAUUUCCCUAUUACAUUUGUAAAAUGUAAUAUAUAAAUUAUUUGAAUACAGUUAUACGCUCAUGAAGUAGUGCUGCAUGCAGCUGGUAUGGGACUCCCUUAUGUCACAAAAAGAAAUAAUAAAGAGCAAAGCCUGCUUAUCCUUGACGUAGAGAGUUUCACGCUGUAGGACUUUUUGUAAUGGCACUGGAAGGACGAGUCUUUGUUAUGGCACAAAAUUGGCUUUUCUCAGUAAUGAAUUUCAUUUAUAAACUAUAAUUUCUCCCACCUCCAUUUUGUUAAACUGUCUGUUUUUGAAUGCAUUUUAAUUUUUCUAAGAAAUUCACAAAAUUCUAUGAAGUCCUCAAAUAAUGAACAUUUGUAUCCCUACUGAAAUUCUGAGUGCACUUUGUGAGCCCUUUGUUGGUUUUACUGUGGGUUCUUUGCCUUGAUGUAUAAAGUCCCAGCAAAAGAAUUGUUUACUGAGACCAAUUAAAGUAUGGUCAUCCAUAUAAUCCUUGGCAAGAAAACAUUUUAAAAUUUAACUAACAUGCUUAUUUGACCCACCUACAUUGGGAAGUUACU